CUUUGGGCUACGUGACGUAAAGCAUCACAAUGGGGCCCUGCUCUUUCAGUGAGUUGUAGACGCACUGUGGGAGUUACGUCAGCAUUGUGUCAUUCCAUUCUUGUCUUGGAGGUACUGUUAAAGCAGAGCACCAAGAAUAACUUAUUUAUUCUGGUUUCUUCAUAUUUCAAACGUGCAAACAGAUUUGAGUUGGCAGUGCCAGGAGGUCCUGGCAUUGGGUAGUUUUGGGUUGCUAUUUUAAUUUUCUUUCUUUUCUGUGCAGAUCUGCUUGCCCCACGAGACAGGCUAUUCGUUCUGCAACUGAACAUUACUAGGUCCACCUCGCUCCUGGAGCAGCGAAGCGAGCAGCAUCCGCAGGCGCACGCUCAUGUCGGGCCACAGGUGCCAGUUGUGAGCAACGUAGGCGACACAGUGCCGCAGCCUUGCCGGUGGCAUGAAGGCUCCGUGUUGUCUCCGUGCAGCCGGAUGCUCCACUUUGAAAAUCGGUUGGCCAGGAUGUCUAGCAGGAUCCUGAGCAGCGUGCUGACUGGAAGUGGCAAAGAUGGCGACGAUCUCCCCACCAUGGACUUCGAACGAGAAAUCCAUCGAUCGGAA
Non-coding RNA from Dermacentor andersoni, 594 nucleotides. NCBI's taxonomy places the organism in Eukaryota, Metazoa, Arthropoda, Arachnida, Ixodida, Ixodidae. The record is from RefSeq and is a predicted model, not a curated record.